CGGUAAUUCCAGCUCCAAUAGCGUAUACUAAAGUUGUUGCAGUUAAAAAGCUCGUAGUUGGAUUUCUGCGGGGACGGAGCGGCCGGUCGCAACUUGCGACUCGAGCUAGCGCUUUCCCCGCAUCCUGCCGCGAACCGUGCUACCAUUAGUUUGGUGGCGCUGGGGAUCGGCUCGAUUACUUUGAGAAAAAUAGAGUGUUCAAAGCAGGCCACACGCCUUGAAUAAGUUAGCAUGGAAUAAUGACUAAGGACUUCGGUUCUAUUUUGUUGGUGUUCGGGACUGAAGUAAUGAUUGAUAGGGACAGUUGGGGCGGUCUGUAUUCCAAAGCGAGAGGUGAAAUUCUUAGACCUUCGGAAGACAAACAGCUGCGAAAGCGUUCCGCAAGGAUGUUCCCUUUGAUCAAGAACGAAAGUUGGGGGAUCGAAGACGAUCAGAUACCGUCGUAGUCUCAACUAUAAACUAUACCAGCUAGGGAUCGGUCAACGUUUAAUUAUUCGACUUGAUCGGCACCUUAUGAGAAAUCAAAGCAUCUGGGUUCCGGGGGGAGUAUGGUCGCAAGGCUGAAACUUAAAGGAAUUGACGGAAGGGCACCACCAGCCGUGGAGCCUGUGGCUUAAUUUGACUCAACACGGGAAAACUUACCAGGUCCAGACAUAGUAAGGAUUGACAGAUUGAUAGCUCUUUCUUGAUUCUGUGGGUGGUGGUGCAUGGCCGUUCUUAGUUGGUGGAGUGAUUUGUCUGGUUAAUUCCGUUAACGAACGAGACCCCAGCCUGCUAAAUAGCGCGGCUGAGCUUUGCUCGGUGCGAGCUUCUUAGAGGGACUAUGAUGCGUGAUAGCACAUGGAAGUUUGGGGCAAUAACAGGUCUGUGAUGCCCUUAGAUGUUCUGGGCCGCACACGGGCUACACUGGCGCCUGCAACGAGCAUAUCAGCUGGCCCGAGAGGGUCUUGGCUAAUCUUUUGAACCGGCGCCGUGCUUGGGAUUGACCUUUGCAAUUGUUGGUCAUGCAACGAGGAAUGCCUUGUAAACGCGAGUCAUCAGCUCGCAUUGAAUACGUCCCUGCCCUUUGUACACACCGCCCGUCGCUCCUACCGAUGAAUGUUCCGAUGAAAUUUUCGGAGAGCGCCAGAGAACGGGGCUCUGCCUUGCAGGUCUGGAGGCUCAAAGUCACUUAAAUCUGAACAUUUCGAGGAAGGAGAAGUCGUAACAAGGUAACC
This 1217-nucleotide ribosomal RNA is filed under the name uncultured Rhizaria. RNAcentral describes it as "SSU rRNA". It matches the Rfam family "Eukaryotic small subunit ribosomal RNA", at positions 577 to 1804 of the family's 1831-position model. The record is from RNAcentral.